UCUGGUGACUAUCGCGGUGGUGUUCACCUCUUCCCAUUCCGAACAGAGAAGUUAAGCCCACCAGCGCCGAUGAUACUGCCUUUAGGUGGGAAAGUAGGUCGUUGCCAAAU
Molecule: ribosomal RNA, 110 nt
Filed under: Bacteroidetes bacterium 4484_276
Lineage: Bacteria; Pseudomonadati; Bacteroidota
Source: RNAcentral